UAAGGAAUAUUGGUCAAUGGACGCAAGUCUGAACCAGCCAUGCCGCGUGGAGGAUGCAGGUCCUCUGGAUUGUAAACUUCUUUUAUCUGGGACGAAACACUUCUUUUCUAAGAGGCCUGACGGUACCAGAUGAAUAAGCACCGGCUAACUCCGUGCCAGCAGCCGCGGUAAUACGGAGGGUGCAAGCGUUAUCCGGAUUCACUGGGUUUAAAGGGUGCGUAGGUGGGUAUGUAAGUCAGUGGUGAAAUCCCCGAGCUUAACUUGGGAACUGCCAUAGUUACUACAUAUCUUGAGUACCGUAGAGGUAAGCGGAAUAUGUCAUGGAGCGGUGAAAUGCUUAGAUAUGACAUGGAACACCGAUUACGAAGGCAGCUUACUAUGCGGUGAUUGACACUGAGGAACGAAAGCGUGGG
RNAcentral lists this ribosomal RNA (413 nucleotides) under uncultured bacterium. RNAcentral describes it as "bacterial SSU rRNA". It matches the Rfam family "Bacterial small subunit ribosomal RNA", at positions 355 to 765 of the family's 1533-position model. The record is from RNAcentral.